Molecule: ribosomal RNA, 465 nt
Filed under: Vreelandella stevensii
Lineage: Bacteria; Pseudomonadati; Pseudomonadota; Gammaproteobacteria; Oceanospirillales; Halomonadaceae
Description: partial 16S ribosomal RNA
Rfam family: Bacterial small subunit ribosomal RNA
Source: RNAcentral
CCUACGGGGGGCGGCAGUGGGGAAUAUUGGACAAUGGGGGCAACCCUGAUCCAGCCAUGCCGCGUGUGUGAAGAAGGCCCUCGGGUUGUAAAGCACUUUCAGUGAGGAAGAACGCCUGGUGGUUAAUACCCAUCAGGAAAGACAUCACUCACAGAAGAAGCACCGGCUAACUCCGUGCCAGCAGCCGCGGUAAUACGGAGGGUGCGAGCGUUAAUCGGAAUUACUGGGCGUAAAGCGCGCGUAGGUGGCUUGAUAAGCCGGUUGUGAAAGCCCCGGGCUCAACCUGGGAACGGCAUCCGGAACUGUCAAGCUAGAGUGCAGGAGAGGAAGGUAGAAUUCCCGGUGUAGCGGUGAAAUGCGUAGAGAUCGGGAGGAAUACCAGUGGCGAAGGCGGCCUUCUGGACUGACACUGACACUGAGGUGCGAAAGCGUGGGUAGCAAACAGGAUUAGAUACCCUAGUAGUC